UGGGGAAUAUUGCACAAUGGGGGAAACCCUGAUGCAGCGACGCCGCGUGAAAGAAGAAGUAUCUCGGUAUGUAAACUUCUAUCAGCAGGGAAGAUAGUGACGGUACCUGACUAAGAAGCCCCGGCUAACUACGUGCC
Molecule: ribosomal RNA, 137 nt
Filed under: uncultured bacterium
Lineage: Bacteria
Description: partial 16S ribosomal RNA
Rfam family: Bacterial small subunit ribosomal RNA
Source: RNAcentral